RNAcentral lists this long non-coding RNA (1275 nucleotides) under Pongo abelii (Sumatran orangutan). Its description in RNAcentral is "lincRNA". Lineage: Eukaryota; Metazoa; Chordata; Mammalia; Primates; Hominidae. The record is from RNAcentral.
UUUGUUCUAUGGGUGGGUGGGGGGAGCUUGGAGCUGUCUUAAUCUGUAUUCUCUUGACUGAACAAUAAAUUUUUAAAUAUAUCUAGUUUCCUCUAUUAAACACUUAAACCUGGCCAUCUUAUUAACUCCUUCUCUCUUUUUAACAAGGUAAUGUUUUAAAUGUAUAUAGCUUUAGGACUAGCGAAAUGGCAGCAACAAAAAAUUGUGAGCAGUUGUUACUCUUAGUUUUUAAAAAAUCUUUUACAUUGUAAGUACCCAAUCCAUUCUGUCCUGACGCAGUAGUUUUUAUGUUAAUGUUGCUGAGAUGUCCUUAAUUUUCCGAACCUUCAUCUGCAUGUAUGUCUUUGUCUCUCUUGUCUAAUAUAAGCCAGUUAAGAUGCUUGAGACGAUCUUGCUUUAUAAAGCUAAGGUUCUAGCUUUAUGCUUUUGAAAAUGUUUACAGCAGUAAAUGCUAGUCAGCUUUCUUCCCCGUAGUUUGUACACUUUCUUUGAAAAUCGAUCUAUUUGAAGAAAAACAGCCCUGUUUUUCUCGUCUUUGUUGUUGGGGGUUGGGGGAAGCUGGUGGGUGAGGGAAAGGAAGACCUUUUCUUUGUGUAGAGAGACUAAAGCCGUCACAGGAAACUAGAUUAAAACUGGAAAACAAGUCCUAGCUGGUUCCAGCAAACACCAGCGUUAAGUGGGGGGUAUUUUCUAUGGUGGUUGGGCGGCUGGUGCGUCUUUUGCCUUUUGUUUGAUUUGACUGUAUUUUCGCCUUUUGUCUCUUAAUGACGAUCACACCAUUGCUAUAUCCAGAGCAGUAAACAGUCCUCAGCGAAGCCGCCUUUUUGCCUACCCAACCCUGGAAAGUUUGCAGAAGUGGAAGGAGCAGAACGUGAGGGUGUAACUUACAAAAAGGUUCUGGGCCGGAGAAGGGGCGACGUUCGGGCACCCCCCGAAUGGACAAUCUUUCCUUCUGUCGACGGCAGGGGCAGGCCUAGUUUGACUCUGACAGUCCUCCCACUAAGCUUCUGUUGGUAGGCAUUUGGGGCGUGCAAUUCUCUGCCGAAUUUAGCAGCAUACGAGAGGAUCUACUUGCAAGUAUUUCCCAGUUGUGUGUUCUUCGGCGGGGGAAGGGCCCUGGGUGCCGCCUACUUCUGAAAGACACAGGUCACUGCCAGAAAGCCCAACUGUGCUGUGGCCUCCCCUCCAGCCGCCCCCGUGGGGCAUGUGGGGUGACAGUGUGAGCCGUCCUCUGUCUGGCUGCUAGGGAGGCAAAGAACAGAGACCCGAGGUUCU